Molecule: long non-coding RNA, 141 nt
Organism: Bombus impatiens (common eastern bumble bee)
Lineage: Eukaryota; Metazoa; Arthropoda; Insecta; Hymenoptera; Apidae
Exons: 2
Source: RefSeq, a predicted model, not a curated record
UGUAAAUACUUACAAUAAGCGGAGACUGUCUACAAUAACUGAAACUUUUGCACACUAUCUUUGAAAAACAUUUAUUUCUGAAAUCAGCUAAGCCGUCAAUUUGACGGGUCUCGUAGAGAGAGAUAUACUACAUACAGAUUU